CCUACGGGUGGCAGCAGUGGGGAAUAUUGCACAAUGGGGGAAACCCUGAUGCAGCGACGCCGCGUGAGUGAAGAAGUAAUUCGGUAUGUAAAGCUCUAUCAGCAGGGAAGAAAAUGACGGUACCUGAGUAAGAAGCCCCGGCUAACGACGGGCCAGCAGCCGCGGUAAGACGGAGGGGGCAAGCGUUAUCCGGAGUGACGGGGUGUAAAGGGAGCGUAGACGGCAGGGCAAGGCUGGAGUGAAAGGCGGGGGCCCCACCCCCGGACUGCUCUGGAAACUGUACGGCUGGAGUGCAGGAGAGGUAAGUGGAAUUCCUAGUGUAGCGGUUAAAUGCGUAGAUAUUAGGAGGCACACCAGUGGCGAAGGCGGCUUACUGGACUGUAACUGACGUUGAGGCUCGAAAGCGUGGGGAGCAAACAGGAUUAGCUCCCCCAGUAGUC
RNAcentral lists this ribosomal RNA (440 nucleotides) under uncultured bacterium. RNAcentral's name for it is "partial 16S ribosomal RNA". It matches the Rfam family "Bacterial small subunit ribosomal RNA", at positions 338 to 795 of the family's 1533-position model. The record is from RNAcentral.